Molecule: long non-coding RNA, 222 nt
Filed under: Ananas comosus (pineapple)
Lineage: Eukaryota; Viridiplantae; Streptophyta; Magnoliopsida; Poales; Bromeliaceae
Description: long non-coding RNA (ACOM_LNC014183)
Source: RNAcentral
AUUAAAGGGCUUUUUUUUGGUUAUUGAGGUCCAUCCAGUGAUAAUAACGGAAAAGAGUUAGAACAAAAGUAUAUAGAAAUAUAUUGUUAUAUUUUUCGAUGAGACGGUAGAAAAUAUAUUGUAAUCGACUCAUUACGAUAUGUAGAAUAUGAUAUUACGUAAUACAAUCUCUUCGCAAUUUCAAACAAAAAAUAAGCGAGGGGGUGCAGCGGUGGACCAGGU